UUGUGUUCCUGCUAGGGACGAGUCCUUUUAGGAACCAGGCCCUGUUGAAACGGAUGUCAACAGUGCCCACGGCCUAUUUUUUCUUAGACACCAACCCAGCCUCCCCCUUCCGCACCUGCCGCGCACCUUCCUGCCGUGGGGUCAGGCGGGGCUAGGAGACGGUCAGGUGGCUCCUCUGCCUCCCCGGCUGACGUGGACGCAGACGGGAAUCCGCCCUAUAACAGGCGCAGGCUGUUCGCGCGCGGCGAGGCGCUGUGGGGCGUGUUGCGGGCGGCUCCCCGGCUGGGCGGCUGCAGUAGGUCCCUCGACGUCGCCGUCUCUGCCCCCUCUUCCCCUUGCCGUUCCGGGCCCCACCCGGAGGGAGGAAGAGUCCGCGAGAGGCCCGGCGGGGAUGGCUGCGGAGACGAGCCCCGGCAGCCAGCAAGACAGCAGCGGGUGAGCUCCUUGAAUCACUUGGUGGGCCCAAAGACAAGCAUGAGCAACUUGCAAGAAGCCUUCAGAGACUGCUGUGGAGUUCCCACCAUACAUAGAGAGAGUGCUGCCAGCGUGAAUGAAAACCUAAUACUGUAAAGGAUUUUUUUUAAGAGGAAGAAGGUCCAGGACUACUUGGAAGGGGGAUGCCAUAUGAGUUACUUCUCCCACCCAGCACAUUGCUAAGUAUAUGGGUGUGUAUAUCUGCACAUGCAGUGAACCCUUAAUCCACCUUUUAGUAUUAAUCAAAGUAGAUAUCCAAAAAAGCAUUUCUAAGGACUACACACUAAAUCCAUGGUCAACUAAAGCAUGGUUUAGUGAAUUCUACUGUCUGGGUUUUCCCAACCAUAAACUAAGCAUAUUGAAUGAAUUUGCACAAUAUACUGAGCAGUGGCUUGUAUUUUGGUCCAGUAUGUUCUCUGAACCCAGCUAUUGAUCAAGUGGGUCUGUGGGCUAUAUUGAUAUUCUCCCAUGUCAUGCCCUUUCAGAUAUAGCGAAUUACACUCCCAAUAUACUUACCUGAAGAUUAUGGGAAUUGUACGGUAGCACAUCUAAAAGGCAACAGUAAUAAUUAAAUGUUGUAGUCAGAUGUGGUGGUUGUGGCUUUUGAUUGCAAUAUAAAGUGUGAAG
Non-coding RNA from Python bivittatus (Burmese python), 1101 nucleotides. The record is from RefSeq and is a predicted model, not a curated record. Lineage: Eukaryota; Metazoa; Chordata; Lepidosauria; Squamata; Pythonidae.